UGUUGCAGUUAAAAAGCUCGUAGUUGGAUUUCUAGCCGACUUGCUUGUGUCCGCGUCUCUUAUGAGCGUGAGUACCGAUGCGUGUCGUCUAUCCUAUCAGUUUCUCGGGCUUCGGUCCGUUUGACUGGUUCUUUUACUUUGAAAAAAUUAGAGUGUUUAAAGCAGGCUUGCGCAAUGAAUACAUUAGCAUGGAAUAAUAACAUAGGACUUCGGUCUCUAUUUUGUUGGUUUCUAGAACUGAAGUAAUGAUUGAUAGGGAUAGUUGGGGGUGCUGGUAUUCAGCGGCCAGAGGUGAAAUUCUCGGAUUCGCUGAAGACUAACUUAUGCGAAAGCAUUCACCAAGGAUGUCUUCUUUAAUCAAGAACGAAAGUUGGGGGAUCGAAGACGAUCAGAUACCGUCGUAGUCUCAACCAUAAACUAUACCGACUAAGGAUGAGUGACCGUUGCUUUUUCGACUUCAUUCGCACUUUAUGAGAAAUCAAAGUCUUUGGGUUCCGGGGGGAGUAUGGUCGCAAGGCUGAAACUUAAAGGAAUU
RNAcentral lists this ribosomal RNA (535 nucleotides) under uncultured Cercozoa. RNAcentral describes it as "bacterial SSU rRNA". It matches the Rfam family "Eukaryotic small subunit ribosomal RNA", at positions 611 to 1154 of the family's 1831-position model. The record is from RNAcentral. Lineage: Eukaryota; Cercozoa.